CUAGAGACAUUUCGUCUCAUCCACGGCCUUUAUUUCCUCUUCUUAUCUCUUUUCUCUCAUUCUCAACCCACCCUGCCAUUACUAAACCUUGCACAAGUGCAAGGUCACUGAAGAUGAUCAAGGCUCAUCAUUUCCCUCACAUGUUAGCCGCAAAUCCUCCAUGGAUUCAUUAGAAUCUUGACCGCAUCAUGAUGGUCGGUGGUCCAGAGGUCAAACGCAAUGACCUCUAGAUAUUGGCUUUGCCCGGCGGUCCGAUUGGUUUCAACGGCUAGUUCACUCAUUGUUUUAGGGAGGUAAAAAUCUUUACCCCUUUUCCCUUCCUGAUUUCGUCACUUCUCAGUCAUCAGUGCUCAUCAUCAUCUCACAGAUUUUCAAAAUUUGAGUGAAAUCCUAAGUCUCAAUUGUAGCUAUAAAUAGAGGGUUUUAAUGCCCUCACCAAACACACGAACUACCAUAGGAAGCCUAGUAAAUGCUCUCUUCUUAAAUACUUAAAAAACUUUCUCUAAUCUCCUUUCUUUAUUUUCAAUUUUUGCUCGAGUGCAACUACUGAGAAUUGAUUGUGAACUUUAGUUCCUAAACGGCUAAGAAUGGUUACUUGGUUUGUUGCCUCGAAGAAUGUCAGUGGACCACUGAUCUCCCUUUAAUUAUUCAUUCAUUUCAUAUAUUAUCAUGUUGUCUCGUUUGUCUGGUGUUUUUUGUUAAUUGCUUGCCUAUGCUUCAUCGUGAUACUCAUCAGCCAAGCAUGAAACUUUCAAUUGUGUUCUGCUGCUUGUGUUAUUUUUCACUUAAUCAACUGAUACUCCCUGCUAAUAGUUAUGUUUAUCCCCUAUGUUGUUUAAAUCAGUAUUUUCUGGUGAUCAUUGAAUUUUGUUUCUCAUACCUAUAUUAUCAUGGUAUAUUGCUUAACUAAUUGAAUGAUUUUCAUGCUUAUAUUAUUGUGUUGUGUUGUCUAAUUGAGUGAUCCUUGUUGACAGUCAUCACCAUGUUAAUCUGCUUAACUAAUUGAAUGCCCCUCACUGAUAGUCAUGCCUAUGUUAUCAUGUUGAUCUGCUUAGUUAAUCAAAUAGGUCCAGUUGACAGUCAUGCUUAUUGUACCCCAUUGUUCUAUUCAGAAUGAUCUAUGUUACAAGACAUGUUUGUUUAUCAUGAUAACUUGAAUAUGACAAACUUGUCUACCUAGCUUGGCAUGUUUAUACUUUAGAGCUUAAUAUGUGACCCGGUUUGCUUGAAUAAACAAAAAAAUGCUGAUUUACAAUUCCAUGUCUACCUAGCUUGACAGUCAUGCUUAUUGUACCCCAUUGUUCUAUUCAGAAUGAUCUAUGUUACAAGACAUGUUUGUUUAUCAUGAUAACUUGAAUAUGACAAACUUGUCUACCUAGCUUGGCAUGUUUAUACUUUAGAGCUUAAUAUGUGACCCGGUUUGCUUGAAUAAACAAAAAAAUGCUGAUUUACAAUUCCAUGUCUAUUUUGCCUUGUUUAAUUGUAACAAGUAUUCUUGUCAUCUUAUGACCAUUUGAUAUUUGAGGACACUGUCCAUAAGAUCUUUAUGUAAUGUGGUUAAGCACUAUUGGUCUUGGUAGUUUGAAUAAGUAUUAUUCAUUCUCAAUGUGCACUAUCAUGUUUAGAUGCCAUGCCUACAUAAUUGACCCUCCUAUUCAUGCUUAAUGUCCCAAUUCUGAGUAAGGUGAUCAGCCUGGGUUGUUAAGCAUGUAGUGAGAUCUACACCUAUGUGUUUGUUUGUUGUUGAAGGAGUGUCCUAAGGAUGUUCUGGGCCUUAAUAACUUACUUUGAUAAUCUAAACUUGCUUCAAAGGAACCCUGUCUGAUUAAAUCCUUAUGAACCAUUAGACCUUUGAUGAGAUUCAGUAAAUAAGUGGGUGCAUUUGUCUUUUGUUCACUGUUGCCUUAAACCACCUGGAGAAGCAUUCAUGAAGUUGAAGUUGUUAUUAGCACAACAAGCUUGCUCUAUAGGGGCAUAUAGUUGAUCACUUGUGCUUUGUAACCCGUUAUUGAUUCUGUAUGUUUACCGCAGUGAUACCUAAGAAUAUUCUGUAGAUGUUGUGCCAUAUGGAAUGGUUCAGAAUCAACCUCUAAGCUCUUGAAACUGUUAAAAACUUUUGAGAACUUAAAUGUGGUAAUUUAUACUUGUAUCAUGUGUUCUGACUUCUGAUAAUAAUCACUGUUUAAAACUCAAGCAUGUGCUACUCCUUGACUAUUUAGGGCAUUAUACUCAAGUGAUUGCUUCAAUUCCUAGAAUGAUUGUCUGUUCUUAAAAUUAUUGGUGCCCCUAUAUGAUUGAGUUUUCUUGAAAUAUGUCACGCCUAGAUGGAUUAAGAUAUCAUAUGGAACCUUAUGUGCUUCUGCUAGUUUGUUUCAUAUUGAUUGCGUGAGACUGCCUGGGCACCUGUUUGGUUGAAUGCUAAGAUAGGAUUUCUUAUGUGCCUAAACCUCUAUAGAAGAAUGAGGUUCAAUGCUUAAGGGUGUUUGGUGUGGGCUUGACUUUACUGUUAAGGAACCCCUCCCUGACACAAGCAUUGCUCGGGGUCCAAGAGACCCUCGUGAAAUCUGGGUCCAUAGGGGAUCCUUAUAAGUGUGGUUCACUCUAAGCCCAUAAUCAUUGGCCUUAAUUAAUCUUCAGGGGAUUAUCAUAAUUAAAAUUUGGCAUAAUCUGUUCACUCUACAUCAUAUUUAUGCUCAUUUUUAUUCUUUUAUGAUUCUGCCUUUAUUUUUUCUAUGCACAAAUGCUAAUUGAUUCUUUCUCUUUUUCUUUGCAUGAAUACUGGACCUGCUGAGUUCAUUGAAAACCCAUACCCAAAUUCAAUGAACUGGGUUGCCUCCUUUGUCAUCCGUUGAAGCCUGCUGCAGUUUUGAGCUUAGUUCGGCCUGACUAAUUGUCAGUCCAGCACAAGAGUCCAGCCACUUUUCCUUAUAUGAAAUUAUUAUUAUUACUAUUGUCCCGUUCUUUGUAUAUGUCCUUGUGGAACUGACAUUGGUAUUGAAUAUUUGUUUUGUCUUGAUUAUUUAGGAAAGACUUUAGGUAGAUCAAACCUAAUAAGGUAAAAGGUAACUUUCACCGAAAAGAUUACUCGCUUUAAUAAUGUCAACAUUUUUUUGGAAUC
Nicotiana tabacum (common tobacco) is the source of this 3118-nucleotide long non-coding RNA. RefSeq lists it as uncharacterized. The record is from RefSeq and is a predicted model, not a curated record. Lineage: Eukaryota; Viridiplantae; Streptophyta; Magnoliopsida; Solanales; Solanaceae.